ACUCUCUUAGUAUAAUAAAUAUAGCUGACUUCCAAUUAGCCGUUUCUGAUAAAACCUCAGAAGAGAGUA
Molecule: transfer RNA, 69 nt
Filed under: Aethomys nyikae (Nyika rock rat)
Lineage: Eukaryota; Metazoa; Chordata; Mammalia; Rodentia; Muridae
Description: tRNA-Gly
Source: RNAcentral